AUUUGUCUCAAAGAUUAAGCCAUGCAUGUCUAAGUAUAAACAUCUUUAUACUGUGAAACUGCGUACAGCUCAUUAUAUCAGUAAUAGUUUAUUUGAUAGUACCUUACUACAUGGAUAACCGUGGUAAUUCUAGAGCUAAUACAUGCUGAAAAUCCCGACUUCGGAAGGGAUGUAUUUAUUAGAUACAAAACCAAUGCCCUUCGGGGCUCUCUUGGUGAUUCAUGAUAACUUCUCGAAUCGCACGGCCCCGCGCCGGCGAUGGUUCAUUCAAAUUUCUUCCCUAUCAACUUUCGAUGCUACGGUAUUGUCCUAGCAUGGUUGCAACGGGUGACGGAGGGUUAGGGCUCGACCCCGGAGAAGGAGCCUGAGAAACGGCUACUACAUCCAAGGAAGGCAGCAGGCGCGCAAAUUACCCAAUCCCGAUACGGGGAGGUAGUGACGAUAAAUACCGAUACAGGGCUCUUUUGGGUCCUGUAAUUGGAAUGAGUACAAUUCAAAUCCCUUAACGAGGAACAAUUGGAGGGCAAGUCUGGUGCCAGCAGCCAAUC
RNAcentral lists this ribosomal RNA (548 nucleotides) under uncultured fungus. Its description in RNAcentral is "SSU rRNA". It matches the Rfam family "Eukaryotic small subunit ribosomal RNA", at positions 32 to 584 of the family's 1831-position model. Lineage: Eukaryota; Fungi. The record is from RNAcentral.